RNAcentral lists this ribosomal RNA (497 nucleotides) under uncultured bacterium. Its description in RNAcentral is "partial 16S ribosomal RNA". It matches the Rfam family "Bacterial small subunit ribosomal RNA", at positions 28 to 507 of the family's 1533-position model. The record is from RNAcentral.
GAUGAACGCUGGCGGCGUGCCUAAUACAUGCAAGUCGAGCGAACAGACGAGGAGCUUGCUCCUCUGACGUUAGCGGCGGACGGGUGAGUAACACGUGGAUAACCUACCUAUAAGACUGGGAUAACUUCGGGAAACCGGAGCUAAUACCGGAUAAUAUAUUGAGCCGCAUGGUUCAAUAGUGAAAGACGGUUUUGCUGUCACUUAUAGAUGGAUCCGCGCCGCGUUAGCUAGUUGGUAAGGUAACGGCUUACCAAGGCAACGAUGCGUAGCCGACCUGAGAGGGUGAUCGGCCACACUGGAACUGAGACACGGUCCAGGCUCCUACGGGAGGCAGCAGUAGGGAAUCUUCCGCAAUGGGCGAAAGCCUGACGGAGCAACGCCGCGUGAGUGAUGAAGGUCUUCGGAUCGUAAAACUCUGUUAUUAGGGAAGAACAAAUGUGUAAGUAACUAUGCACGUCUUGACGGUACCUAAUCAGAAAGCCACGGCUAACUACGUG